UCUUGAGUAGUUUAUAUAAAAUGAUGAUUUGUGGUGUCAUUGAAGCACUAUUUGUGCCUUAGGUA
RNAcentral lists this transfer RNA (65 nucleotides) under Paracercion v-nigrum. Its description in RNAcentral is "tRNA-His". The record is from RNAcentral. Lineage: Eukaryota; Metazoa; Arthropoda; Insecta; Odonata; Coenagrionidae.